UGAGAUGGGCUGGUGGGUUCGUGGAUAUGAAUAAAGAACCAAACGUGAACUAAAGAGACAGUUUUGUUUUUCAGCUUUGCGUGAAAGUGAAUAGCCGUGCUUGUUUUGACAGCACAUACGCUGAAAUUGUAAGAUUAAUCAGCAUUGUCUUUAAGAAAAAUGAUAGAAUACUGAAAAUAAAGUGGAAAGUAGGAGGUACUGUAAAAACUUGUUAUCCCUUGGAUGUGAUGGAAGAAAACUUUAAAGUGCUGAUGAGAAACAUUGAAAAGAGACAUAUCUUGUUCUUGGAUAAGAUUCAACAUUAUUUUGAAAGGUGUCAGUUCUCCCUAAGUUAAAUUACAUAUUUGUCAUAAUCCUAAUAAAAUACAUUAUUUUUGAUCUGG
Molecule: long non-coding RNA, 383 nt
Organism: Fukomys damarensis (Damara mole-rat)
Lineage: Eukaryota; Metazoa; Chordata; Mammalia; Rodentia; Bathyergidae
Exons: 2
Source: RefSeq, a predicted model, not a curated record